UACGUAGGGUGCGAGCGUUAAUCGGAAUUACUGGGCGUAAAGCGUGCGCAGGCGGUUCGUUGUGUCGGCGGUGAAAGCCCCGGGCUUAACCUGGGAAUGGCCGUUGAAACUGGCGAACUGGAGUGUGGCAGAGGGGGGUGGAAUUCCGCGUGUAGCAGUGAAAUGCGUAGAGAUGCGGAGGAACACCGAUGGCGGAAGGCAGCCCCCUGGGCUAACACUGACGCCUCAGGCACGAAAGCGUGGGGAGCGAACAGGA
RNAcentral lists this ribosomal RNA (256 nucleotides) under uncultured bacterium. Its description in RNAcentral is "partial 16S ribosomal RNA". It matches the Rfam family "Bacterial small subunit ribosomal RNA", at positions 524 to 777 of the family's 1533-position model. The record is from RNAcentral.